Molecule: non-coding RNA, 2652 nt
Organism: Pelobates cultripes (western spadefoot toad)
Lineage: Eukaryota; Metazoa; Chordata; Amphibia; Anura; Pelobatidae
Source: the annotation of a GenBank genome assembly
GCCUGAUUCAAAAAAAAAAUAUAGAUUGCCUGAGCCUGGCAAGAUCUGUAAAAAUAAAAUGUGUCCACAGUGGGGGGAGAUUUAUCAAUUAGUCUGUUCUAAAAAAUGGUGCAAAAAUGGAAAAUAAAAGAUAAGUUCCUAAUAGAAUGUUCCUGCUGGUUCAUGGUGAAUGCCACACAUUUAAUACAUUAGACCACUUUUUAAAAAAGGGCACUUUUCCAAAUUUCCAGUCUUCCACUUACUUUCCUUGAAUUUCUUCUGCAAAAGAGAUUUAUUGCUUGCAAAAACCUUUGAUACACAUUUAUCUCUAGAGGAAAUUAUUGUAAAUCCCAAAUGGACCAUUCUACAGCUCAAAGCUUUUGGGGGCUUAAAACACGCAGUCGUCCUCUUUCAUAUCUAUACCAUCUUGGACAACAUGACAUACAUUUCAUAACAAAAUAUGUUCUUUCCCUCUGCCGUUACAAGUUACACUCUGCUCUGCAGCUUUGUUGUUGACGGUGGACUUUGCAAAUGAAUCCAAGUCACACAACACUGAGUGUAGUGUAACACAUGUCCACACAGUUUUUUAUGUAAAAGUUAAAGACAAAUGAGCAAGGCUGAGUAGGCGGCGAGGGCCCACAUGCCAAGUCCGGAGCCCAGAGGCCUGAAAUACCUCACUGACCUGCACAACCGCGGGAAACGCCGCCACAUGCCGGAUGCCUGGCACUUAGCCACACAUGAGCUUCUGACACCCCAGGCGCCAAGAGCUCUCAAGGACAGCGUUUGGCACCCAGAAGGGAUCGGAUGAGCACAGGCAGUGGAUCAGGGUCUGUCAGGCACACCUUGUUACAGCUGGACUUCCCCACCAUGCCUCUUUACACAAGAACUGAUCCCUGCAUACUUGCUAAAUGUAAUGUACCAAUUUUUGAACUGCCACCAUUUCACCCCUUGCAGAGUUCUUAACGUGGUUGCCUGCAUGUGUUUACCUAAACCGUAUUAUUUUACUAGCUAGUCUUAUCUACGGUGGCAAAUUAAGCUUGUUUUACAACCAGCGAUAACGCGGUUGGUCUAUUCCCACACUUAAAACCGUGCAACCAGUGCCUUUAGCAUGAACGCUCUCCUCCUCAACAAAGAAUUGUUAUAUGCUUAUAUAGCCUAGCAUGUUGUAUUACAAAAUGCUGAUGUCAAGCAUAUCGUUUAAUUUUUAUUUUUAAUGCGCAAUAUAGGCAUACAUUGAAACAACUAGCCUGCUUUACAUAAUACACUGUUACCUCUGCUAGCUUCACAUCUAGUUAAUUGAAUCACUGUGCUCUUAAUGCCUAUGUGUCACACUACACCCAAGCUGCACACCUAUAACCCUAAACGCAACUAGUUCUGUUCUAUGCAUGUCAUACCACAAAAAUGAUGUCUAAUAGUCUGAUGUCUUCAUGUAAUAUAAAAAAUGUGCCGUAUAAACUGUCACACCUUGAAAUGUCAUGGAAAUACUUGUAGAUGCUGUUGUGGCUCUGCAUGCUUUAUGUCAAACUAUGCACAAGAAAAAUAAAUAAUUUAAAAAAAAGAAACAAAGAAAUAAGUAUAAGGAGGCUGAGGUGGGGGGGUAAAAUGGAGAAAAGAAGAUUCUUAUAUUUAAAUCUAUUUUUGUUACUUUAUCAUACCAGCUAAGUAUUAGUUGAUCAGGAAACAACCACAAGUAGCAGACUAUUGCAAUGAUGCCAUAUACUCACAGAAUACUGGAGAAAAGGCAGAUGAGAUCUGUCUAAUAGCAAACCACACAGACCACUAGAUGAGGGGUAAGGUAACAUGUUAAGGCAAGUGCAAAAUGCUUACUAUUUGAUAAAAAAAAAAAAACACAUCAUGUUAAAUAUUUUCUAUUGUUUUCCAUAAAUAUUCAUUUGAAUGUGUCCAUCGAGCAUUUGACAAUAUAUGGUCUUUAGAUAUAGUAAUACCAUGGGAAGCAAUUUGAGGUGAGGGUGCAUUAUACACCUCUGUCUCUCAUGCAGGAUUUUAAACUAAAUUAAAUUAGGUUAAAAUAGCCAAGUUGUGACUAUAGCUGCAUUGAAGAAUAUUUAAAAAAAAUCUGGUAUUUUAGCCCAAAUUUUGCUAUUCGGGUUUCAGCUUGCUACAAUCUGUUUAUGGAAUAAGCCAUUCCUUUUGUUGACGUCUUUGUGUUAGAAGUUGAGUUAGAGAGAAAUCUAUGCUAUAUACUACUGCAAUCAAAACUUAUGAUAAAAGGCUAAAUUCCUAAACAAUUUCCAGCACAGAGGCAGGAAAAACUAGUCGCACCUCUUCAUUUAAAGGAACAUGACCAGAUUCACCAUGUUUACAGAGACACAUAUAAGUUUCUCAUAUUUAUGAAAACGCAUGAAAAGGGCUGCUCUGCAGUGUGUACAAUGCACAUUCUGCAUUAUUGCCUACUGCCUAAUUGCUUAAUUGCAGGAUUCUUUAUUUCCUAAUUGCAUAAUCCAAUACCCAUUCUUCUGAAUUCAUGUUGUCAGAGAAAACAUGGUGGAUCUGGUCACCUUGACAAAACACCAUAACCACUACAGCACACCGUAGUUGUUAUGGUGGCAGUAGUGCACUGGUGCCAUCACUGUUGGUAGACAAAAUGUUUUAGAACAGUUUUCACUUCUUAUCUUGGGUCCGCCAGACACCACUCUGUGCGCUUUUGGCAGC